CCAAGAAAUGAAAUAUGAAUUUUUUAUUUUUUUUUUCUGUGUUGGUGUUGUGUACUCAGGUGAAUAAUAUGUUUGCAAUGUUACUCUGAGUGCAUAUCCACACCGGGCGAGCUUGAAAAAUACGCCCGGCCAAGGUGGGAUUCGAACCUACGACCUUUGGAAUACCAGCCCAAUGCUCUUCCAACUGAGCUACGUGGUCAGGACGGUUCGAGUAAGUGAUAUUUCGGAACAGUAUCUAGUUCCUUCAAUACCAAUGUGUUCUAGUAAUAUGAUUUUUUUUUUCUGUGUUGGUGUUGUGCACUCAGGUGAAUAAUAUGUUUGCAAUGUUACUCUGAGUGCAUAUCCACACCGGGCGAGCUUGAAAAAUACGCCCGGCCACGGUGGGAUUCGAACCUACGACCUUUGGAAUACCAGCUCAGUACUAGAACACAUUGGUAUUGAAGGAACUAGAUACUGUUCCGAAAUAUCACUUACUCGAACCGUCCUGACCGCGUAGCUCAGUU
Non-coding RNA from Paramuricea clavata, 503 nucleotides. The record is from the annotation of a GenBank genome assembly. NCBI's taxonomy places the organism in Eukaryota, Metazoa, Cnidaria, Anthozoa, Malacalcyonacea, Plexauridae.